This 545-nucleotide long non-coding RNA is filed under the name Hordeum vulgare. RNAcentral describes it as "long non-coding RNA (HVUL_LNC021193)". Lineage: Eukaryota; Viridiplantae; Streptophyta; Magnoliopsida; Poales; Poaceae. The record is from RNAcentral.
UUGAGAAGAUCCUGCCGCCAAGACCAGGGAGCCAGUCGUCGGACAUGGACGUGGAUCAGUGCGAGGAAACGACCAUGCACGACGUGAACAUAGAAGAGGAGAUGAGACGCAGGCAGCAUCAAAGGCGGCAAGAAGCAUACGAUGAAGAAGAUGAGGAUGAAGGCGGUGCCCCAAGGGGGGUGCAGUGCGCCCAGCAGUAGGAAACAAGGAUGUCGAUCAACUACAUUCUACUAUUGCUCCUUUCCCGUUUAAUUAAAGUACUCCUAGCUGAUCUGAUGCGCGGUAUUAUUAUUGUUGGCGUCCUAAGAUUAUGAGGUUGUUAGCCAUAAGUAUCAUUCAUCCUUUUGUUGGGCCUAUUGCCUGCUGUGUCGUGUACCGGUAUUAUUUUGGAGCCCAUACUUUGAUAUUUCAGACUUGGUUGGGUGAAUUCGUCUUUGUGUGUGCUGGUGCUGCAUUAUUAUUAUUAUUAUAUUUGUAAUCUUCGUGCUGCUCAGCAACUUGAGGCCUUGCUACUAUUUGUAUCAGAUCUGUCAGUGAGGGUCAUU